AUCGUUUCGCAUUUACCCGUCAACACAAGGAGUUACAACUCAUUAAAAAUUAAACGGGUGGGAAAUUCGGUGGUACUCUCCAUCCUUUACCAAAGUUGCUCCUGAGAGCUUUUCUUAAUCCUAAGCAUGAAAAUGCAUGGGCGGUGUUACAAGAAAUAUUACACGAUUCAGACUGUAAAAGGUUUGUUUCGUUAUGGGAAUGACGCCGUGGAUGGUUGGCUAUGAUGAAAGUUAUCAUCAUUAAGCUGUUUAGUGCAAUAUGCGAACUUGAAUAUACUCUAUUCAAGCACCCGAUACCGAUCAUCGAU
Candida tropicalis MYA-3404 is the source of this 308-nucleotide non-coding RNA. The record is from Rfam. NCBI's taxonomy places the organism in Eukaryota, Fungi, Ascomycota, Pichiomycetes, Serinales, Debaryomycetaceae.